This 412-nucleotide ribosomal RNA is filed under the name uncultured bacterium. Its description in RNAcentral is "bacterial SSU rRNA". It matches the Rfam family "Bacterial small subunit ribosomal RNA", at positions 30 to 429 of the family's 1533-position model. The record is from RNAcentral.
AGUGAACGCUGGCGGCAGGCCUAACACAUGCAAGUCGAGCGGCAGCGCGUCCGACCACCCUCGGGUGGUCGGAUGGCGGCGAGCGGCGGACGGGUGAGGGAUGCAUCGGAAUCUGCCUCGUUGUGGGGGAUAACGUAGGGAAACUUACGCUAAUACCGCAUACGACCUACGGGUGAAAGUGGGGGACCUUCGGGCCUCACGCGAUGAGAUGAGCCGAUGCCGGAUUAGCUAGUUGGCGGGGUAAAGGCCCACCAAGGCGACGAUCCGUAGCUGGUCUGAGAGGAUGAUCAGCCACACUGGAACUGAGACACGGUCCAGACUCCUACGGGAGGCAGCAGUGGGGAAUAUUGGACAAUGGGGGCAACCCUGAUCCAGCCAUGCCGCGUGUGUGAAGAAGGCCUUCGGUUGUAAG